This 253-nucleotide ribosomal RNA is filed under the name uncultured bacterium. RNAcentral describes it as "partial 16S ribosomal RNA". It matches the Rfam family "Bacterial small subunit ribosomal RNA", at positions 524 to 776 of the family's 1533-position model. The record is from RNAcentral.
UACAGAGGUCCCAAGCGUUGUUCGGAUUCACUGGGCGUAAAGGGUGCGUAGGCGGUUUGAUAAGUCUGAUGUGAAAUCCCGCAGCUUAACUGCGGAACUGCAUUGGAAACUGUUUGACUAGAGGAAUGGAGGGGAGACUGGAAUACUUGGUGUAGCAGUGAAAUGCGUAGAUAUCAAGUGGAACACCAGUGGCGAAGGCGGCUCUCUGGGACGGUACUGACGCUGAGACGCGAAAGCGUGGGGAGCGAACAGG